GCAACCCGAUGUCGGGGGCUUGGGCGGAAGCCCACGUURCCCGACAAAAAACGUACCCCCGGCGCGGUCYGCGCCAAGGAAUCGAAAUGAAGCAACGUGAGCAGUCCGCCCCGUUCGCGGGAAGUGGACGGCAACACGGUCUUCCAAUGUAUACUAAACGACUCUCGGCAACGGAUAUCUCGGCUCUCGCAUCGAUGAAGAACGUAGCGAAAUGCGAUACUUGGUGUGAAUUGCAGAAUCCCGUGAACCAUCGAGUUUUUGAACGCAAGUUGCGCCCGAAGCCAUUAGGCCGAGGGCACGCCUGCCUGGGCGUCACGCGCUCCGUCGCCCCGCAACCCCGAACCCCGAAACGGGCCAGGGURCUUGUGGUGCGGAGAUUGGUCUCCCGUGUGCCUUGCUCGCGGCUGGCCUAAAAUUGAGUCCCGGGCGCUCUGUUCUGCGGCCGACGGUGGUUGAGAAGCCCUCGAAAUUGUGCUGCUGCAGUGCUGCCCGAUGCGGACCCUGUGACCCUUGCGCGACCUCUCCCCUUGGGGUGAGGGAGCUCCAUCUGA
This 551-nucleotide small RNA is filed under the name Geranium yesoense. Its description in RNAcentral is "eukaryotic LSU rRNA". The stretch from base 160 to 315 matches the Rfam family "5.8S ribosomal RNA". Lineage: Eukaryota; Viridiplantae; Streptophyta; Magnoliopsida; Geraniales; Geraniaceae. The record is from RNAcentral.